Molecule: ribosomal RNA, 2898 nt
Filed under: Escherichia coli
Lineage: Bacteria; Pseudomonadati; Pseudomonadota; Gammaproteobacteria; Enterobacterales; Enterobacteriaceae
Description: 23S ribosomal RNA
Rfam family: Bacterial large subunit ribosomal RNA
Source: RNAcentral
UUAAGCGACUAAGCGUACACGGUGGAUGCCCUGGCAGUCAGAGGCGAUGAAGGACGUGCUAAUCUGCGAUAAGCGUCGGUGAGGUGAUAUGAACCGUUAUAACCGGCGAUUUCCGAAUGGGGAAACCCAGUGUGUUUCGACACACUAUCAUUAACUGAAUCCAUAGGUUAAUGAGGCGAACCGGGGAACUGAAACAUCUAAGUACCCCGAGGAAAAGAAAUCAACCGAGAUUCCCCAGUAGCGGCGAGCGAACGGGGAGGAGCCCAGAGCCUGAAUCAGUGUGUGUGUUAGUGGAAGCGUCUGGAAAGGCGCGCGAUACAGGGUGACAGCCCCGUACACAAAAAUGCACAUAUUGUGAGCUCGAUGAGUAGGGCGGGACACGUGGUAUCCUGUCUGAAUAUGGGGGGACCAUCCUCCAAGGCUAAAUACUCCUGACUGACCGAUAGUGAACCAGUACCGUGAGGGAAAGGCGAAAAGAACCCCGGCGAGGGAGUGAAAAAGAACCUGAAACCGUGUACGUACAAGCAGUGGGAGCCUCUUAAUGGGGUGACUGCGUACCUUUUGUAUAAUGGGUCAGCGACUUAUAUUCUGUAGCAAGGUUAACCGAAUAGGGGAGCCGAAGGGAAACCGAGUCUUAACUGGGCGUUAAGUUGCAGGGUAUAGACCCGAAACCCGGUGAUCUAGCCAUGGGCAGGUUGAAGGUUGGGUAACACUAACUGGAGGACCGAACCGACUAAUGUUGAAAAAUUAGCGGAUGACUUGUGGCUGGGGGUGAAAGGCCAAUCAAACCGGGAGAUAGCUGGUUCUCCCCGAAAGCUAUUUAGGUAGCGCCUCGUGAAUUCAUCUCCGGGGGUAGAGCACUGUUUCGGCAAGGGGGUCAUCCCGACUUACCAACCCGAUGCAAACUGCGAAUACCGGAGAAUGUUAUCACGGGAGACACACGGCGGGUGCUAACGUCCGUCGUGAAGAGGGAAACAACCCAGACCGCCAGCUAAGGUCCCAAAGUCAUGGUUAAGUGGGAAACGAUGUGGGAAGGCCCAGACAGCCAGGAUGUUGGCUUAGAAGCAGCCAUCAUUUAAAGAAAGCGUAAUAGCUCACUGGUCGAGUCGGCCUGCGCGGAAGAUGUAACGGGGCUAAACCAUGCACCGAAGCUGCGGCAGCGACACUAUGUGUUGUUGGGUAGGGGAGCGUUCUGUAAGCCUGUGAAGGUGGCCUGUGAGGGUUGCUGGAGGUAUCAGAAGUGCGAAUGCUGACAUAAGUAACGAUAAAGCGGGUGAAAAGCCCGCUCGCCGGAAGACCAAGGGUUCCUGUCCAACGUUAAUCGGGGCAGGGUGAGUCGACCCCUAAGGCGAGGCCGAAAGGCGUAGUCGAUGGGAAACAGGUUAAUAUUCCUGUACUUGGUGUUACUGCGAAGGGGGGACGGAGAAGGCUAUGUUGGCCGGGCGACGGUUGUCCCGGUUUAAGCGUGUAGGCUGGUUUUCCAGGCAAAUCCGGAAAACCAAGGCUGAGGCGUGAUGACGAGGCACUACGGUGCUGAAGCGACAAAUGCCCUGCUUCCAGGAAAAGCCUCUAAGCAUCAGGUAACAUCAAAUCGUACCCCAAACCGACACAGGUGGUCAGGUAGAGAAUACCAAGGCGCUUGAGAGAACUCGGGUGAAGGAACUAGGCAAAAUGGUGCCGUAACUUCGGGAGAAGGCACGCUGAUAUGUAGGUGAAGCGACUUGCUCGUGGAGCUGAAAUCAGUCGAAGAUACCAGCUGGCUGCAACUGUUUAUUAAAAACACAGCACUGUGCAAACACGAAAGUGGACGUAUACGGUGUGACGCCUGCCCGGUGCCGGAAGGUUAAUUGAUGGGGUUAGCGGUAACGCGAAGCUCUUGAUCGAAGCCCCGGUAAACGGCGGCCGUAACUAUAACGGUCCUAAGGUAGCGAAAUUCCUUGUCGGGUAAGUUCCGACCUGCACGAAUGGCGUAAUGAUGGCCAGGCUGUCUCCACCCGAGACUCAGUGAAAUUGAACUCGCUGUGAAGAUGCAGUGUACCCGCGGCAAGACGGAAAGACCCCGUGAACCUUUACUAUAGCUUGACACUGAACAUUGAGCCUUGAUGUGUAGGAUAGGUGGGAGGCUUUGAAGUGUGGACGCCAGUCUGCAUGGAGCCGACCUUGAAAUACCACCCUUUAAUGUUUGAUGUUCUAACGUGGGCCCCUAAUCGGGGUUGCGGACAGUGUCUGGUGGGUAGUUUGACUGGGGCGGUCUCCUCCUAAAGAGUAACGGAGGAGCACGAAGGUUGGCUAAUCCUGGUCGGACAUCAGGAGGUUAGUGCAAUGGCAUAAGCCAGCUUGACUGCGAGCGUGACGGCGCGAGCAGGUGCGAAAGCAGGUCAUAGUGAUCCGGUGGUUCUGAAUGGAAGGGCCAUCGCUCAACGGAUAAAAGGUACUCCGGGGAUAACAGGCUGAUACCGCCCAAGAGUUCAUAUCGACGGCGGUGUUUGGCACCUCGAUGUCGGCUCAUCACAUCCUGGGGCUGAAGUAGGUCCCAAGGGUAUGGCUGUUCGCCAUUUAAAGUGGUACGCGAGCUGGGUUUAGAACGUCGUGAGACAGUUCGGUCCCUAUCUGCCGUGGGCGCUGGAGAACUGAGGGGGGCUGCUCCUAGUACGAGAGGACCGGAGUGGACGCAUCACUGGUGUUCGGGUUGUCAUGCCAAUGGCACUGCCCGGUAGCUAAAUGCGGAAGAGAUAAGUGCUGAAAGCAUCUAAGCACGAAACUUGCCCCGAGAUGAGUUCUCCCUGAGACUUAGAGUCUCCUGAAGGAACGUUGAAGACGACGACGUUGAUAGGCCGGGUGUGUAAGCGCAGCGAUGCGUUGAGCUAACCGGUACUAAUGAACCGUGAGGCUUAACCU